RNAcentral lists this small RNA (149 nucleotides) under Arabidopsis thaliana (thale cress). Its description in RNAcentral is "ATSL162660". The record is from RNAcentral. Lineage: Eukaryota; Viridiplantae; Streptophyta; Magnoliopsida; Brassicales; Brassicaceae.
GGUCGAGUGGUUUGAUAUGAUCAGGUCCGCUUCUUCCAAUUAACUCGCCAAUAGCUCCAAAUAUCCUGAAAGCAACACAAAUAUGCAACAUGCAUGCAAAACUAUCCUAAACAUGCAAAGUGAUGACAAAUGAUGAGAAAUAAUAUAAA